Molecule: ribosomal RNA, 590 nt
Filed under: uncultured marine eukaryote
Lineage: Eukaryota
Description: bacterial SSU rRNA
Rfam family: Eukaryotic small subunit ribosomal RNA
Source: RNAcentral
AACCUGGUUGAUCCUGCCAGUAGUCAUAUGCUUGUCUUUAAGACUAAGCCAUGCAAGUCUAAGUAUCAAUCCCGGUACGAUUAAACUGCAGAUGGCUCAUUAAAACAGUUUUUGUUUAUUUGAUGUACAAAACCACAUGGAUAACUGUGGGAAUUCCAGAGCUAAUACAUGCAAGAAGACCCAACGCAAGGCGGGUUGUAUUUGUUAGAUUAAACACCAAUGCCCUUCGGGGCUUCGGUGAGUCAUAGCAACUUUUCGAAUCGCAUGCCCUCGUGGCGGCGAUGGUUCAUUCAAAUUUCUGCCCUAUCAGCUUUCGAAGGUAGGAUAUGGGCCUACCUUGGCUUUAACGGGUGACGGAGAAUUAGGGUUCGGUUCCGGAGAGGGAGCCUGAGAAACGGCUACCACAUCCAAGGAAGGCAGCAGGCGCGCAAAUUACUCAAUCCCAAUUCGGGGAAGUAGUGACAAGAAAUAACAAUAGACGAGCUUAUUGGUUUGUCUAAUUGGAAUGAGAACAAGGUAAAAAUAUUAACGAGGAUCCAUUGGAGGGCAAGUCUGGUGCCAGCAGCCGCGGUAAUUCCAGCUCCAAUAGC